Non-coding RNA from Caenorhabditis elegans, 126 nucleotides. The record is from Ensembl. NCBI's taxonomy places the organism in Eukaryota, Metazoa, Nematoda, Chromadorea, Rhabditida, Rhabditidae.
AAUUGCACCGGACAUCUCACGGAUUUUAAUUGUUUUUGUGGGGAUGGUGGGAACACAAAUAAUGCCGGUUGCUGCCAAGCAAUAUAACUAAAAUUUUCGAGGAAAGAAUUUUAGUUUCUUGCUCAG